CUGUGCAAUGUAAACAUUUUUAUGCCAUGCAACUUCUGUCCUUAUUGCGGCUGUAGAGUUACAGCAAAGGAAUUUUAUAUGUAUUUUGUAUAUGUAUAAUGUAUUGCCAAAAUUGUGGUACUAAAAUAUUACAAGGGGGAAGUUUUUGUCAUAAUUGUGGCCAUUCGGUUGCAAAAAAAGUGUAAUAACAUUAUCCAGUCUUAUAACAACUCUGGCACAUCUAACAAUCAAAGCCCUCCAGCAAGUGGCUCAACUUCCAUCAUUUUUAAUGACAGUAUGCCUCGUGACUUACGUCCUAUGACCCUUCAUGAAUUUCGAAAACAAAAAGAACAAGAUAGAUGCUCUAAAUUCUCAAUUUCUAAAACAAAAAAGAGGAGCAUUUCAACAGCAAAUAAAAAAGCUAGGUUAGCACAAGAAGUGAAAGUGCAAGUUGGUGUGGUUAGAGAAAGUGUUGAAGAUGGUAGAUUGAAAAAAAUCAAAGGAAGAACUAGUCCUGUAUUAUUUAAUGAAGACGACAAUGCCAAGGUAUUGCUCGAAAAGGCAGUUGAGAAGCAUGCAAGGCACUUUAAACAAUUUGACAGAGAUGAUACUUAUGUUAUUCUCUAUCAAGAUAUGACUCUUGUUAAAGAUUUACCAGGUAGUAACACACC
This is a long non-coding RNA of Xenia sp. Carnegie-2017, 650 nucleotides long. RefSeq lists it as uncharacterized. The transcript has 3 exons. Lineage: Eukaryota; Metazoa; Cnidaria; Anthozoa; Malacalcyonacea; Xeniidae. The record is from RefSeq and is a predicted model, not a curated record.